Poecilia latipinna (sailfin molly) is the source of this 737-nucleotide long non-coding RNA. RefSeq lists it as uncharacterized. The transcript is spliced from 4 exons. Lineage: Eukaryota; Metazoa; Chordata; Actinopteri; Cyprinodontiformes; Poeciliidae. The record is from RefSeq and is a predicted model, not a curated record.
AUUUCGAAGAAAGCGGCUACAGGAAUUCUGACUUUCCAAGUGGGAGAAGGUGACAAAAAAAUGGAGAUAACAAAUAGCUGCAGCUGAGGCGGAGGCUUACUGGUCGGUUCUCACCCACAGACUCCAGACUGGGACAUGUCUGCUCAGAAGCAUCUCUGAGUGGUUCCAGGAUUUCUCUGCAGCUGUUUUAUCUUCAUCACGAGGAUUUGCAGUUGAACUUGAACCCAGUUCCCGCUCUCCCCUCGCGCUGCCUGAUUUCACACCGUCCGCCCCUCCCCGCCGCAGCACCAUGCCCGUCUUUGUGAAGCUGUCUUCCUUGACUUUUUGCAUCCCCCGUCUGGCCUGGCGCAACCUCUCCCUUUUACCGCCGCCACCUCCUUCCCCCCUCCGUUCAGCCAUUCUUCACUUCUGGGGCCGGGAGGGGCUCCGGGAGACGGCCUGCGGGGACUCGCAAUACAGAAUGCUAAUCAUCCCCUCGGCGACACUUCCCACGAUUUUCCUCUCAGACGUGGGCUUUUGUUUCGUUAUUGAUUCUAUCGCAAUCAGACAGUUCCCGCAACUUUCCUGCCGUCUGGGGCCGGAUCCGUAACGCCGCUCGGAGUGCGAGACGCACUGUUCAGAUGGCGCUCUUUUUAACGACCUCUGGCAUUGUCUCUAUUAAACAACAGCUGUAAUUAUAUCUGUUCAAACCUUUUGUUACUUGGGCCAAAAUUGUCGACUCAAAAGUAAAACUCAUA